AGCCCUUUCUUUCAUUAUUCUGAUUAGAAACAGCCCCAGAGGUGACGUGAUUUGCCCAAAGUCGUGCAACUUCCUGGAACAAGAAGCCAAUCGGAAGACGCCCAUGCUGCUGUUCUUUCCGUGUUAUCAGGUUACCCCAGAGCCUUAGGAUCUGCUUUUGAAACGCAAAGGCGAGGUCGCCCAGGGAGAGCCACGGGAGGGAAACUUACUCGGAUUUGCUAACUGCUUUUGGCAGGGGAUGGGGCCGGAGAAGGGGGGAGGGUGUAACCUGCUUCCCCCCCAAAAACAUAAUGUGAACAGCUUUUAAAUUGCUUUAUGAGAUCAUGAAUUCUAGUGAGUGCAUCUUCCGAGGAGGCUGGGAACUUACCUGUUUUGUUUACCCAGCCAAGGGCCUAAUGCAGAGCAGGGCCUUAAUAAAAAUGUACCGCAUGGAUGGCCGCGGGGCUGGCCGCAGCCCACUCCACCAUAGAGCUGUAGGAGGUUUGGGGGAGCCAAGCCCCACCUGGGAGGCACGUAAGUCCUUUCCAGUUUUUCUCAAUUGUGGCUUUGCAACGAAUAUCCUUUGUUCAUAAAUCCUUGACUGCAUCUCUUGAUUAUUUCCUUAGGAUAUUUUCCUAGAAGUGGGAUUACUGGGUUGAAGGGUAUGCACAUAUUUAAGGCUCUUGAUUCAGAACCCUCCAGCAGUGCAAGAAUGAGUCAGCUUCCCAGCAUCCUGGCCAAACCUGGGUGUUAUCAGGCUUCAUUUUUAUUUUUUGCCCUCUUGAUAGAACAAAAAUGAUAUUUUAUUUGCAUCUCUUUGUGGACUAAUUAGAUGGAGAUUGAACUAAUUUUAAGAAAACACUCUAAGGAGCUCAGAGAAAUCCUGUGUGGGGCAAGAGACCAGUAAACUAGGCAUCUUCUGCCCAGUGAGGUGAAACCUGAGGACCCCUCUUGUCUGGAGUGAUUUGACCCGAAGAUGUAAACAUGUGAGCCUUGCUAGGGAGCCUUCCUCUGAGGCAGGGAGCGGGCACUGUGACUAACUAGCUUCCCUGUGUUUGUAAUUUUCAUUUCCUGAUGAGGACUAAAUGUUAUAAAACAAAUGGAAAACCUGUGUACGUAUCUUUAGGGGCAGCAAGAAAAGGUAGAAAUGGGAAAACGAUUUUAACUUCGAGUCCUGGAGAAGGGGGAAGGGUGGGUGGAGAAGUUCAAAGGAUGCUUCCAGAAGAAGGGAGGAGAUGCAAACACCAACCACCCUGAACCAGACCAAGCCUCACCACCAGAGCUCUGCCUAUGACCUCUGCCUUAUUUUCAAUGCUAGGAUCUCUCCAGGAGGAGCUUAGGCCUCGUUACCGUAACCUGCAGUGUAUGUGCAAGCAUGUUUUCUAACUGAGCCUGCGCAAGUGAAUACCCACCUCUCCCUUUUGAAUAUUCAUUCCCAUCUGAAAUAAAUGUCCCUGCUUCCCUUUGUUCGGGGAUGUCAUGACUAUGGAGAUGAUUCCUCAUGGUCUCCUAUUCGCUGCAAAUGUACUUUACCUUAUGAGACAACUACUUCUGGUGGAGAGUCUGAUCCAACUCGCCAGGAGGGAACCCACUUUGUCUCGGUAACAGUUCUACCAAGUUAUUCAAGCCAGGAACCUGGGAGUGACCCAUUCAUUCAUUUAAAGCACUGGGGAUACCAGAGUCUGCAAAAGAAGAAUCCCUGCCCUUGUUGAAUUUAUAUUCUAGAAGGGGAAGACAGACAAUAAGCAAUCAGUCCCUCGUCCGAGUGGUUAAGUUUGCACGCUCCGCUUCGACGGCCCAGGGUUUCACUGGCUCCGAUCCUGAGCGCAGACAUGGCACUGCUCGUCAGGCCACGCUGAGGCAGCAUCCCACAUGCCACAACUAAAAAUAUACAACUAUGUACUGGCGGGCUUUGGGGAGAAAGAAAAAAAAAAGAUUGGCAACAGAUGUUAGCUCAGGUGCCAAUCUUUAAAAAAAAAAUCAGUCCCCAUAUCUAACAGAUCCCAACUUCUUAAUAUCUCUAGACUCCAUCUGUCUUUCCAGUCACAACCUGAGUUCAAAACCCCGCAAUGGCCUCCGUCUUUCUGUCUUAUUCCCUCCAACCCAUUCACCCCACAGCAGUGUAAUCUCUCUAAAGCCAAAUAUUAAAUUUCUCUUCCAGCUUUAAGCUCUCUAUCCCUCAAAAAUAAAGUCCACCUUCACAAAUCUGGGUGAAAAAGGUUUACACCCUCUGGGCCCCUGCUUGCUUCUCCACCACUGGUCUCCACCUGCGUGAAUCACUCCCUGCUCAGCCGCACUGAGUUACAGCUGCAGGUCACUGCACCUGCCAUUCCGGACGCCCUCCCUCCCCUCCUGCCUGGCUAACUCCUGUCCACUCUUCAGGUCUCAGCUUGGCUACUGCGACAGGCAGCCUCUAAGAUGGUCCCCCUUGAUCUCUGCCUCCUCGUAUUCAUUCCCUUGAAUGUGAGCUGGAUUUCCUGAUGUGAUUCUGAAAAAUAGACUAUGGCAGAAAAGAUGAGAUGUCACUCCUGACGUUAGGGUCCAUAAAGACUGUGGCUUCUUUCUUGGGGCUCUCUCUCUCACUUGCUUGCUCUGUGGUAAGCCAGCUGCCAUGUUUGAACUGCCUUGUAACAAGGGCCACGGAACAGAGGGAGGUCUCCAGCCAACAGCUGUGAGGAACUGAACCCUUCUAGCAACCACGUGAAUGAGCCUGGAAUCGGGCCCUCCACCGGCUGAGCCUUCAGAUGAGAUGGUAGCCUCAGCCGACAGCAUAACUGCAACCUCAUGAAAGACCUUCAGCCAGGAGGCACCCAGCUAAACCACGCCUGGAUUCCUGACCCAAAGAAACUGAGAUAAUAAACAGUCGUUGUUGUAAGCG
Equus caballus (horse) is the source of this 2857-nucleotide long non-coding RNA. The record is from Ensembl. Lineage: Eukaryota; Metazoa; Chordata; Mammalia; Perissodactyla; Equidae.